UGGGGAAUAUUGCACAAUGGGGGAAACCCUGAUGCAGCAACGCCGCGUGAGUGAUGAAGGUUUUCGGAUCGUAAAGCUCUGUCUUUGGGGAAGAUAAUGACGGUACCAAAGGAGGAAGCCACGGCUAACUACGUGCCAGCAGCCGCGGUAAUACGUAGGUGGCGAGCGUUAUCCGGAUUUACUGGGCGUAAAGGGAGCGUAGGCGGAUGAUUAAGUGGGAUGUGAAAUACCCGGGCUCAACUUGGGUGCUGCAUUCCAAACUGGUUAUCUAGAGUGCAGGAGAGGGGAGUGGAAGUCCUAGUUUAUCGGUGAAAUGCGUAGAGAUUAGGAAGAACACCAGUGGCGAAGGCGACUCUCUGGACUGUAACUGACGCUGAGGCUCGAAAGCGUGGGGAGCAAACA
RNAcentral lists this ribosomal RNA (402 nucleotides) under uncultured prokaryote. Its description in RNAcentral is "bacterial SSU rRNA". It matches the Rfam family "Bacterial small subunit ribosomal RNA", at positions 355 to 774 of the family's 1533-position model. The record is from RNAcentral.